Molecule: ribosomal RNA, 292 nt
Filed under: uncultured bacterium
Lineage: Bacteria
Description: partial 16S ribosomal RNA
Source: RNAcentral
GGACUACCAGGGUUUCUAAUCCUGUUUGCUCCCCACGCUUUCGCACCUCAGCGUCAGUACCGGGCCAGUGAGCCGCCUUCGCCACUGGUGUUCUUGCGAAUAUCUACGAAUUUCACCUCUACACUCGCAGUUCCACUCACCUCUCCCGGACUCAAGCUCCUCAGUAUCAAAGGCAGUUCUGGGGUUGAGCCCCAGGAUUUCACCUCUGACUUAAAGAGCCGCCUACGUGCGCUUUACGCCCAGUGAUUCCGAGCAACGCUAGCCCCCUUCGUAUUACCGCGGCGGCUGGCAC